GAGAGAAACACCCACCGGGCUGGCUCGGCCGCUCCCGGGAGAGGGGGGCCGCAGCGCCCCCUGGUGGCCGGAGCCCCGCGGCGGAGAGCCGCCCCCAGCCCCGGAGGGAGGAGCUGGGACCCCGGGGCCGCGGACCAGGGGUCCACCGCAAGCUGCUCACUAGGACCUGGGGAACUCAGGGGCAGCAUUACAACCAAUGGCCACCCAGUGGAUAUAGGAGCCUACAGGUCUCCACACUGUUUUGAGACAACUUGAAGAGCCAUCUCAGCUCCAGAGUUCUUCCAGGAAUAGAUUUCCUGCCCAAUGUGGGACUUGAACUCACAAAGCCGAGAUCAAGAGUCACAUGCUCAACCAACUGAGCCAGCCAGGCUCUCCACCCCACACUUUGUUUAGGACAACCAGAAAGUUAAGCUGGCAGUCGGGUGAAAGAUGGACCGCACCGGGGCAUUCCAGACUCGAAUGUGAGGCCAACGCUGUUUCAGUAAGUCUGAGAUUCCA
Neofelis nebulosa (Clouded leopard) is the source of this 498-nucleotide long non-coding RNA. RefSeq lists it as uncharacterized. The transcript has 4 exons. The record is from RefSeq and is a predicted model, not a curated record. NCBI's taxonomy places the organism in Eukaryota, Metazoa, Chordata, Mammalia, Carnivora, Felidae.